AGGUAUAAGCUUGGUAGUUUGCGCUUUGAUUUUUGAAGUUCCGUAAUUUUGUGUCUGGUAAUUAAUUUGAAAUUGUGAUGGUUGGUUUAGGCACUCAAGCUGCACCUAGGAAAAAGGGAACAGCUGCUUCUGCUUGAGGGUAUUUCAGGAUUCAGAUUUGGAUCUUAUGUUAAAGUGUACUUCUAUUGGUAUUUUAAAUCAUUAAGGGAACAAUUGAAUUUUCUAGAACAUCAUUUGAAGCGUUUUUGCCUUUCGGAUCCUUAUUGAUGUUAAUUUUGUUUGGAUACAUGAGUUUGCAUUUUAAUUCUUACAGACAGGAGAUUGACGUAAGUUGGAAUGCUUAUUUUUAAUUGUGCGCUAAUCUUAUUUACUCUUAUGCGUAAGUUCAUGUCUUGACAUACUAAUCAUAGCUAACAUUUUAGAGGCCGACAGGUGCCUGUUUCUCUGAAAUUAUUAUUGAGUAAUCUGGACUAUCUUUUUCUGUUUUUUCUAUGGUUCAUUAUAUUUGAAGAAGUACCUUGCUUGCAUGUUUAACUCUGAACUUUUAUGUAUGCAUUUCCUGUGGGUCAUUAUUUUGCGAUAAUGAUAAUAGUUGUCUUGUUUGUGCUGAUUGUACUUCUGUAGACUUGAGAUGAUGAAAGCUCCUCGACUGUGAGAAUUGAUAGAAGUUUGGAGGGAGGGGGUGUGCGUAAGGUGAAGUGUUAUUUAGAUUUUACAAAUUGUCUCCUGUAUUCCAAAAUUGUCUCAAAAUGUUGUAGAAUAAUACCACAUAUACCGUAACUUUCUGAGUAUACCAUUACAGAUUUGUUGAUUAGAGGGUUAUGUGUGGGCUUUUGUCCUUUAAGAUCCUUAGAAAAGGUUCUUAACUGCCAAGUUCUGAAGUCCAUCUCCAUGUUUUAGGUCAUUUAACAUGAUAGCAAUUCAGGGCAUUAGAAUACGUAUUGAAGAUUUGCUCUGGCUACAUCUUGUGAUUCUGGGUCCUGGUGACCUUUUAAUGCUAAGAGAUGGGCGAAUGACUAUUUAGAUUUGGUAUGCUGACUAGCUAAAUAUACUUUAUUACCUGUGGAAGGGUUUUGUGAGCCUGUAAAUUCUUAUAAGUUGUUGUUGAAUGAUGAAGUUGGAGUUCUGCACAGCCUUGACAUACCUCUUUGAUGCAUAUACUCUUCGUAUGAAAGAUUUCAAGAGGGUUUUCUGUCUUUGGGGUUAGUUAUAUCAAGAUUUCAAUUCCGUUUGACUCAUCUUUUUGCUCUCAUGAAAUGACGGAGAUCUCUAACCCUCAACCACAUAAAACCCCAUGAAAUCUUUCAUAUGAAGAGUCUGCAUCAAUUCCAUGUGACCUGCUUUCUGCUGAGUAGUUUCUUAGAAAAAAUAAAACUAAAAAAUUCCAUCUUCUUGCAAGCUGAGGGAAAUAACUUAUGUUGACCAAUAGUUGUUAUGCCUACAUAUUCUGGGACAUAAACUCGUGUGCAAUUUUUUUCAUUUUAUUUCCUAGUUUUAGUGAGGGGCCAAUGGGACAAUAGUUGAGCUACUUAUGUGCUCGUCGUGUUGCUCUCUAUUUAACCGAAGUGGAUAAUAGUUUUAUGUGCAACUUGUGUUACUACCACGUAAAUGAAGUGGACUAGUGACAGGCAAGAGGUGACCUGGGAGUGGUGCAGGGAGGGCGCUGGACGGAAAGAGGCAAAGGUGGGGGAGAGAUGAGAGGGGUAAUAUUGGGCUGGAAAGAUGUAGUGUCUGUAAAGUGGGCUGGGUCGGGUCGUCCAGUGUAAUUUGGGGCAUAUACUGGAUCUGGGUUCUGUCAGACUGGGCUAGGCCAUCGGGGAUUUACAGAAUAUUACCCUCUGGGUUCUUGACUGGACAGAGCCUAUGGGGCAAGCCCAACCCUAAAGCCCAUAUACAACACUGCCAUUUUUCUCUUCAUAUAUAUAGUCAAUGGUGCAGGGAGGGCGCUGGACGGAAAGAGGCAAAGGUGGGGGAGAGAUGAGAGGGGUAAUAUUGGGCUGGAAAGAUGUAGUGUGUCACUCGCUAGCUCCUUUAUGUCAUUUUUCUUUUGAACAAAUUUUUAGAUGGGAUAGAGAAUGUUCAUUUUCUGCUGUGUCACUCACUGGCUCUAUGAUGUCAUUUUUCUUUUGAACAAAUUUUUAGAUGGGAUAGAGAAUGUUCAUUUUCUACUUUAUUAAAGGUUUAGACUCUUACGACACCAAACGCAUUUUUCUCAUUUCGAAGCUCAGCGGCCGAAACUAGGGUUUUUGCAACUUUGCAGCCAUGGUAACCAAUUAUUCUCUUUCUAUAUCUAUAUGUAUGUCCAGAUUAUAAUCCUGAUCUCGUCUAUGUUCAUUUGGCCUGAAUGCUUGCAUUUGUAUGUGUGUAGGGGAAGGGAACAGGGAGCUUUGGCAAGAGGAGAAACAAGACACACACGCUGUGUGUGAGGUGCGGCCGGCGAAGCUUCCACAUCCAGAAGAGCCGCUGCUCUGCCUGUGCCUAUCCUGCUGCCCGCAAGAGGACAUGUACGUGUUUCAUUUUACAAUUCUCAAAUUCGCAUAUAUCAAUCUGUUUUUAAAUUUUAAACUUUUUUGUUGAUUUAUUUUUUGUAUGAUACGAUAUUUCAGACAACUGGAGUGUGAAGGCCAUAAGGAGAAAGACUACUGGAACUGGACGCAUGAGGUAUCUCCGCCACGUGCCGCGCAGAUUCAAGACCAACUUCAGAGAAGGUAUAAGCUUGGUAGUUUGCGCUUUGAUUUUUGAAGUUCCGUAAUUUUGUGUCUGGUAAUUAAUUUGAAAUUGUGAUGGUUGGUUUAGGCACUCAAGCUGCACCUAGGAAAAAGGGAACAGCUGCUUCUGCUUGAGGGUAUUUCAGGAUUCAGAUUUGGAUCUUAUGUUAAAGUGUACUUCUAUUGGUAUUUUAAAUCAUUAAGGGAACAAUUGAAUUUUCUAGAACAUCGUUUGAAGCGUUUUUGC
RNAcentral lists this long non-coding RNA (2955 nucleotides) under Olea europaea (common olive). RNAcentral's name for it is "long non-coding RNA (OEUR_LNC000293)". Lineage: Eukaryota; Viridiplantae; Streptophyta; Magnoliopsida; Lamiales; Oleaceae. The record is from RNAcentral.